Molecule: ribosomal RNA, 263 nt
Filed under: uncultured bacterium
Lineage: Bacteria
Description: partial 16S ribosomal RNA
Rfam family: Bacterial small subunit ribosomal RNA
Source: RNAcentral
GUCCACGCCGUAAACGAUGGGCACUAGGUGUGGGGGGUGUCGACUCCCUCCGUGCAGAAGCUAACGCAUUAAGUGCCCCGCCUGGGGAGUACGGCCGCAAGGCUAAAACUCAAAGGAAUUGACGGGGGCCCGCACAAGCAGCGGAGCAUGUGGUUUAAUUCGACGCAACGCGAAGAACCUUACCUGGGCUUGACAUGUUACUGACCUCCCUGGAAACAGGGCUUCCCUUCGGGGCAGGAUCACAGGUGGUGCAUGGCUGUCGU